This 8375-nucleotide small RNA is filed under the name Pan troglodytes (chimpanzee). RNAcentral describes it as "retained intron". The record is from RNAcentral. Lineage: Eukaryota; Metazoa; Chordata; Mammalia; Primates; Hominidae.
GGUUUGAUAAAUGAAUUUUCUCCCAUCUAGUGGAGAGGCAUAGAAAGAAGAAAAUCAAUGCUGGGAUAAACAGAAUAGGAGAGCUGAUCCCAUGUUCUCCUGCCCUGAAGCAGAGCAAGAAUAUGAUCCUGGACCAAGCCUUUAAAUAUAUAACAGAAUUGAAAAGGCAAAAUGAUGAACUCCUGCUUAAUGGAGGAAACAAUGAACAAGCUGAAGAAAUAAAAAAGCUACGGAAACAACUGGAAGAAAUCCAAAAAGAAAAUGGCCGAUAUAUUGAAUUACUGAAAGCUAAUGACAUAUGCUUAUAUGAUGACCCCACAAUUCACUGGAAAGGAAAUCUUAAAAACUCAAAGGUCUCUGUUGUUAUUCCUAGUGACCAGGUUCAAAAAAAUAUUAUUGUUUAUUCCAACGGGAAUCAGCCUGGUGGAAACAGCCAGGGAACAGCUGUUCAGGGGAUAACUUUUAAUGUUAGUCAUAAUUUACAAAAGCAGACCGCCAAUGUGGUGCCAGUACAGAGGACUUGCAAUCUUGUGACUCCUGUAUCUAUUUCUGGAGUUUACCCUUCUGAAAACAAGCCAUGGCAUCAGACCACAGUUCCUGCAUUGGCUACCAACCAGCCUGUUCCUCUUUGUCUUCCUGCUGCCAUUUCUGCUCAGAGUAUUCUCGAGCUUCCCACAUCUGAAAGCGAAUCAAAUGUGCUUGGUGCCACUAGUGGCUCACUGAUUGCUGUUUCAAUUGAAUCUGAGCCUCACCAACAUCAUUCUUUGCACACAUGUCUAAAUGAUCAAAAUUCUUCUGAAAAUAAGAAUGGACAAGAGAACCCCAAAGUAUUGAAGAAAAUGACCCCUUGUGUUACAAACAUCCCCCACAGCUCCUCAGCAACUGCCACUAAAGUGCACCAUGGAAACAAGUCCUGCAUGAGCAUACAGGACUUCAGAGGUGAUUUUCAAAACACUUUUGUUGUUUCAGUUACCACCACAGUCUGCUCGCAGCCUCCCAGAACUGCAGGUGAUUCUUCUCCAAUGAGCAUUAGUAAGAGUGCAGACUUGACAAGUACAGCUACAGUGGUGGCAUCAUCUGCCCCUGGAGUAGGGAAGGCCACCAUUCCUAUAAGCACUCUUUCGGGAAACCCUUUGGACAAUGGUUGGACUCUUUCUUGUUCUUUGCCUUCUUCAAGUGUUAGUACUUCAGAUUUGAAAAACAUUAAUAGCCUUACACGAAUUUCUUCAGCUGGAAACACACAGACAACGUGGACUACUUUGCAACUGGCAGGAAACACUAUUCAGCCCUUAAGCCAGACACCAUCUUCUGCUGUGACUCCAGUAUUAAAUGAGUCUGGUACUAGCCCCACCACAAGCAACCACAGUAGACAUGUGGCUACAGACAUCAACUUGAAUAAUUCCUUUCCAGCAGAUGGGCAGCCAGUUGAGCAAGUAGUUGUAACAUUGCCUUCUUGUCCAUCUUUACCUAUGCAGCCACUAAUUGCCCAGCCACAAGUUAAAUCUCAGCCUCCCAAAAAUAUCCUUCCACUGAAUUCAGCAAUGCAAGUGAUUCAGAUGGCUCAGCCAGUUGGGUCAGCUGUUAAUGCAGCUCCAACUAAUCAAAAUGUUAUAAUUCUUCAGCCACCUAGCACCACCCCAUGCCCAACAGUGAUGAGGGCAGAAGUUCCCAACCAAACAGUAGGUCAACAGAUAGUAAUCAUACAGGCUGCUAAUCAGAAUCCUUUGCCACUCCUCCCUGCUCCACCUCCUGGUUCUGUUCGACUCCCCAUCAAUGGAGCCAAUACUGUAAUAGGGUCUAAUAAUUCAGUGCAAAAUGUUCCAACACCACAGACUUUUGGAGGAAAGCAUCUUGUCCACAUAUUACCAAGACCUUCAUCUUUAUCAGCGUCUAACUCAACACAAACUUUUUCUGUUACCAUGUCAAACCAACAGCCUCAAACCAUUUCUUUAAAUGGACAGCUCUUUGCUUUGCAGCCUGUGAUGUCUUCAUCAGGAACUACAAAUCAAACCCCUAUGCAAAUUAUUCAACCCACCACCAGCGAAGAUCCAAAUACCAAUGUUGCCCUGAAUACAUUUGGUGCUUUGGCCAGCCUCAAUCAAAGCAUAUCACAGAUGGCUGGGCAAAGCUGUGUACAAUUGUCUAUUAGCCAGCCUGCCAAUUCUCAAACUGCUGCAAGUAGUCAAACCACUACAGCUAACUGUGUUUCAUUAACAACAACUGCAGCACCUCCUGUGACAACAGAUAGUUCAGCCACACUAGCUAGUACUUAUAAUCUAGUGAGUACUUCCUCAAUGAACACUGUUGCUUGUUUGCCUAACAUGAAACCUAAAAGGUUGAAUAAGAAGCCAGGUGGCAGGAAACACUUAGCAGCAAACAAGUCAGCGUGUCCCCUGAAUUCAGUCAGAGAUGUGAGCAAGUUAGACUGCCCCAACACUGAAGGCUCAGCAGAGCCACCCUGUAAUGAUGGACUGCUAGAAAGCUUCCCUGCUGUGUUACCAUCUGUCUCUGUGUCCCAGGCAAAUAGUGUGAGUGUUUCUGCUUCACAUUCUUUGGGUGUUCUAAGCUCUGAAUCAUUAAUACCUGAGUCUGUAUCGAAAUCUAAGUCAGCAGAAAAGUCCAGCCCACCCUCCCAAGAAUCUGUAACAAGUGAACAUUUUGCAAUGGUCGCAGCAAAAUCCAAAGAUUCUACCCCUAAUCUACAACAAGAGACAUCUCAGGAUAAGCCACCAAGUAGUUUAGCAUUAUCAGAUGCUGCCAAACCCUGCGCUUCAGCCAAUGUAUUGAUUCCAUCUCCAAGUGAUCCUCACAUUUUGGUUUCUCAGGUUCCUGGUUUGUCAUCUACAACAAGCACUACAAGUACUGACUGUGUUUCUGAGGUAGAAAUCAUUGCUGAACCUUGCAGAGUUGAGCAAGAUUCAUCAGAUACAAUGCAAACCACAGGUCUCUUAAAAGGGCAAGGUUUAACUACAUUGCUAUCUGAUCUUGCUAAAAAAAAAAACCCUCAGAAAUCAUCUCUUUCUCAUCAGAUGGAUCAUCCUGACUUUUCUUCAGAAAAUCCUAAAAUAGUUGAUUCAAGUGUGAAUUUACAUCCUAAACAGGAGCUAUUACUGAUGAACAACGAUGAUAGAGAUCCUCCACAGCAUCAUUCCUGCCUCCCUGAUCAAGAGGUUAUUAAUGGUUCUUUGAUCACCGGUAGACAGGCCGACUCUCCCAUGUCAACCAGCUCUGGCAGUAGUCGUAGUUUCUCAGUUGCAUCCAUGCUUCCUGAAACAACAAGAGAAGAUGUGACCAGCAAUGCAACAACUAAUACAUGUGACAGCUGUACCUUUGUAGAGCAAACUGAUAUAGUAGCUCUUGCAGCAAGAGCUAUUUUUGACCAGGAGAACCUUGAGAAGGGAAGAGUUGGCCUCCAGGCUGAUAUAAGGGAAGUUGCUUCAAAGCCUUCUGAAGCAUCAUUGUUAGAGGGAGACCCACCCUUCAAAUCACAGAUACCUAAAGAGAGUGGCACAGGACAGGCAGAAGCAACACCAAAUGAAUUUAAUUCUCAGGGUUCAAUUGAAGCAACUAUGGAGAGGCCCCUUGAGAAACCAAGUUGUUCUCUAGGAAUUAAAACAUCAAAUGCAUCUUUACAGGAUUCAACUUCCCAGCCACCAAGCAUCACCAGUUUAAGUGUGAAUAAUCUUAUCCAUCAGAGCAGCAUCAGCCAUCCUCUGGCCAGCUGUGCGGGUUUAUCCCCAACUUCAGAGCAAACAACUGUGCCUGCAACGGUUAAUCUGACCGUUUCAUCUAGCUCCUAUGGCAGUCAACCUCCUGGACCAUCUCUGAUGACUGAAUAUUCCCAAGAACAGCUAAAUACUAUGACUAGUACCAUACCAAAUUCACAGAUUCAAGAGCCACUCUUAAAGCCAAGCCAUGAAAGCCGUAAGGAUUCUGCUAAGCGUGCUGUCCAGGAUGACCUUUUACUGUCUUCAGCUAAACGUCAAAAGCACUGUCAGCCAGCCCCCCUCAGGCUUGAAAGUAUGUCCCUGAUGAGCAGAACUCCAGACACCAUUUCUGACCAAACUCAAAUGAUGGUCAGUCAGAUCCCUCCUAAUUCUUCAAACUCAGUUGUGCCUGUUAGCAACCCAGCUCAUGGAGAUGGCCUUACACGAUUAUUUCCACCUAGUAACAACUUUGUGACUCCUGCAUUGAGGCAAACUGAAGUUCAGUGUGGUUCUCAGCCUUCAGUUGCUGAACAGCAGCAAACCCAGGCAAGUCAGCAUCUACAGGCCCUGCAGCAGCAUGUUCCAGCUCAAGGUGUAUCUCACCUUCAUAGUAACCAUCUCUACAUAAAGCAGCAGCAGCAGCAGCAGCAACAACAACAACAACAAGCAGGGCAGUUAAGAGAGAGGCAUCACUUAUAUCAAAUGCAGCAUCAUGUACCUCAUGCAGAGAGCUCUGUCCACUCUCAGCCCCAUAAUGUCCACCAACAGAGGACUCUGCAACAGGAAGUUCAGAUGCAGAAAAAGAGGAAUCUUGUUCAGGGCACCCAGACCUCUCAGCUUUCCUUACAACCAAAGCACCAUGGAACUGACCAAUCCCGAUCCAAGAGUGGCCAGCCACAUCCCCACCAUCAGCAGAUGCAGCAACAAAUGCAGCAACACUUUGGAAGCUCCCAGACAGAGAAGAGCUGUGAAAACCCUUCAACUAGUCGGAACCAUCAUAACCAUCCCCAGAACCAUCUCAGUCAAGAUAUUAUGCACCAACAGCAGGAUGUUGGAAGCAGACAGCAAGGUUCAGGGGUUUCAUCUGAACAUGUAUCUGGCCAUAAUCCAAUGCAGAGGCUUUUGACAUCAAGAGGCUUAGAGCAGCAAAUGGUGUCCCAACCAAGUAUUGUGACUAGAUCUUCAGACAUGACCUGUACUCCACACAGGCCAGAGAGAAAUAGAGUUUCAAGUUAUUCUGCUGAGGCACUCAUUGGAAAGACAUCUUCUAAUUCAGAGCAGAGAAUGGGGAUAUCAAUUCAGGGUUCCAGAGUUUCAGAUCAGCUUGAAAUGAGAAGCUAUCUUGAUGUUCCCAGAAAUAAGAGUUUGGCUAUUCAUAAUAUGCAGGGUCGUGUGGACCAUACUGUAGCCUCAGAUAUCCGCCUUUCUGAUUGUCAGACGUUUAAACCAAGUGGAGCUAGUCAACAGCCCCAGAGUAAUUUUGAAGUACAAUCUUCAAGAAACAAUGAAAUAGGUAACCCUGUAUCAUCAUUGCGGAGUAUGCAGUCCCAGGCUUUUCGAAUUAGUCAAAACACUGGCCCCCCACCAAUUGACCGUCAAAAGAGAUUACCUUACCCACCAGUUCAGAGCAUCCCAACAGGAAAUGGUAUUCCAUCAAGGGACAGUGAAAAUACUUGUCACCAAAGUUUCAUGCAGAGCUUACUUGCCCCUCACCUCAGUGAUCAGGUCAUUGGGAGCCAGAGGUCACUCUCAGAACAUCAGAGGAAUACACAGUGUGGUCCAUCCUCUGCAAUUGAAUAUAAUUGUCCCCCAACUCAUGAAAAUGUCCAUAUUAGAAGAGAGAGUGAGAGUCAGAAUAGGGAAAGUUGUGACAUGUCGUUAGGUGCAAUUAACACCAGGAACAGCACCUUGAAUAUUCCUUUUUCAAGUUCCUCUUCCUCAGGAGAUAUUCAAGGUCGAAACACAAGCCCCAAUGUUUCUGUACAGAAAUCCAAUCCCAUGAGGAUUACUGAGAGUCAUGCCACCAAGGGCCACAUGAACCCUCCAGUCACAACCAACAUGCAUGGGGUUGCAAGGCCAGCGUUGCCACAUCCAUCUGUGUCUCAUGGAAAUGGCGAUCAAGGCCCUGCUGUACGUCAAGCUAAUUCUUCAGUUCCCCAGAGAUCAAGGCAUCCCCUGCAAGACAGCAGUGGUUCCAAAAUUCGUCAGCCUGAAAGGAAUCGUUCUGGAAACCAAAGGCAAAGUACUGUCUUUGAUCCAAGUCUUCCCCAUCUUCCUCUCUCUACUGGUGGCAGUAUGAUUCUUGGACGUCAACAACCUGCCACAGAGAAGAGAGGAAGUAUUGUUCGUUUCAUGCCUGAUAGCCCACAAGUACCUAAUGAUAAUUCAGGUCCUGACCAGCAUACACUAUCACAAAAUUUUGGUUUUUCUUUUAUUCCUGAGGGUGGCAUGAAUCCACCAAUAAAUGCUAAUGCUUCUUUCAUUCCACAGGUUACUCAGCCUAGUGCCACUCGAACUCCAGCCCUCAUCCCGGUAGAUCCGCAAAAUACUCUGCCCUCCUUCUAUCCUCCAUACUCUCCUGCUCAUCCUACACUGUCCAAUGAUAUUUCAAUCCCCUAUUUUCCUAAUCAGAUGUUCUCAAAUCCUAGCACAGAGAAGGUAAACAGUGGAAGUUUAAAUAACCGAUUUGGAUCAAUUUUAUCUCCUCCCAGACCUGUUGGGUUUGCUCAGCCAAGUUUUCCUCUUCUCCCAGAUAUGCCACCAAUGCACAUGACCAACUCUCACUUAUCCAAUUUUAAUAUGACAUCUUUGUUUCCAGAAAUAGCUACAGCGCUUCCUGAUGGCUCAGCAAUGUCACCUUUGCUUACAAUAGCAAAUUCCUCUGCCUCUGACUCUUCCAAGCAGUCCUCAAACAGACCUGCCCAUAACAUAAGCCAUAUUCUAGGUCAUGAUUGCAGUUCAGCUGUUUAAAUGCUGAUAAACGAAAUGUAAAGGUAAUGAGUGAGAUUACAAAUGUAUUUGUGCGUGCAUGCGCACAGACAUGUACAUGAAGAGAAGGAUUGUGUGUGUGUGUCUGUAUGAUCAGUUUUCAGUUAUCUUCUGAAUGUAGGGAAGCCAUGUCAGAUGCAGAUACUGGGUUGUCAGAAAACAAGUUAUCUUUCGUUUUCAACUGCAUGGUGUACUUUUUUAUUUUCCAAGUAGAUUUACAUUUCCAAGUUGAUAUUUCCUAAAUACUAAUUAGCUGGAAAUUGGGGGAGAUCAUCUUGUCAUGUACUGGGUAGUAGGAGGGAGCCUAGACUUUAAACUUGAUUGUUGAUAACUUAUGGAAUAUGUAGGUAAGUUGCUACUGAAAAAUAUAGGCAGCUUGAUAAAACACAGUGGCUAAGUGCUGGCUAAUGUCAGCAUCUAGAACAGCUUCUUACCUAUGACAGAUGUUGAACUGAUGUUGAGUUUAAUGUCCGUAGUUAAAGUCAAGCAGUUAGCAAAUAAAUAAAAGCAAUCAGCCUUUAUUCUCAAAGUUUGGUUUAGAUACAGGCUUCUUUCUAAAUUAUAACAAUCCAUAAAUUAUCUGAAUUUUAUGUCUUGUUCUUCAAAUUAGGGAGCUGUGUUAUCCUUUAAUGUGCCAAGAUUAUUUAAAGCAAAGGUCUUCCUUAGACAAUUAUUUAGCCUUAAAUAUAGAAAGCUAAAAAGUUAAGUACAUACAUAUUCUCCAUUUUGUGCUUGCAUUUUGCAUCAGGUCAUAAGGGUAAAAGCAGUUAGUUGUAUUGUGGAGUUUUGCAUGGGUGCAGUUAACAAUGGAUGUUUCAUCAACUGAGUUUAAUUUAGUAUUCUCUCUUCAUUCUAUUUAUUUGGUCUUGAAAUAAAUUCUUUUGCAUUCAUUUAAAUAUUAGGAUUGAUCAGGAAAUAGUGUUUGUAAUCUACACGUUUAUUUGAGCCUUACUUUAAAAAUAUUUCUGAACAGAGAUUUAAGCUCUGUCAGUAUUUUCAUUUACUGAUAGUAUUUAUAUUUUAAAUAUGGCAUUGUAUAUUUCAUUAUUAUCCUUCAUAACAGAAUUAUAAUGAGAAUAUGAAUUUGUUAUUUUUCUUGUUGGUAGAUGUGAAAUGGUGCUUCAAAAAAUAUAUAGUCUUUCUGUAUGUCUCUGUGUGUGUAAGUAUGUGUGUGUGUGUGUACACAUAUUUUAAAGUAUGAAUUGGUCCUUUAAAAACAGGCCUGCCAUCUGAAAAUGGGAAAUUGAGACCUGAGACCUGCUAAAGCAUAGAAGAACUUGAUAUAGGUAGGGUUUUUUUUUUUUUUUUUUUUUUUAAUAGAUGGAGUCUGGCUCUGUUGCCCAGGCUGGAGUGCAGUGGCGCGAUCUCAGCUCACUGCAAGCUCCACCUCCCGGGUUCAAGUGAUUCUCCUGCCCCAGCCUCCUGUGUAGCUGGGACUACAGGCACAUGCCACCACACCUGGCUAAUUUUUGGUACUUUUAGUAGAGACGGGGUUUCACCGUGUUAGCCAGGAUGGUCUUGAUCUCCUGAUCUCGUGAUCCACCCGCCUCGGCCUCCCAAAGUGCCAGGAUUACAGGCAUGAGCCACCGUGCUUGGCCUAGGUACAGGUUUUUAAAAGCCCCACAGAAGUUUAUAAUACAUUUAAAAACCCAUAUUAAAAUUUGAAAACUUAAAAAAAAA